AGUUUUGAAUUUAAAAACUUAGUAUACUUUUUGGCCAAAGAGUAAGUUAGUAUAGGGGAGGGAAAGCCAAAACUUCCCAUCGAAAUCAACAUAUAAGAGGCUUUGUAGGGUUGGUUGUUUGGUUAUCUGGCCGGCGGAAUCGGAAACAAUAAUGGAGGAUGUACUACCUCAGGAACCAACGCCAGCGGUGGACCCACCACAGCAGGAGGAGGUACCGACACAGGAGGUGGUACAACCACUUCAAGGGGAAUUACCUCCUCCUGUACUUCCUCGUCAACGUUCACGCCGGCGACGUGGUAUUACCAAGGAGGAGGCUCGCCAGCAACUCAUAGAAUUAAGCAAAAAAAAAUUGGAAAUCGAAAGAAAAAAUUCCGAAGCAUUGAAACAAAUACUUGUUGCAAUUAAUAAAAUUGCUGAUAAAAUCGACAUGAUUACCUACGUGAGGCGGAGUGACGACGGCGCUCCUAACAACUAACUCAACUCUCAAUUCAUUGGCGCUACGUUUCGCAGCCUGUCCACAGUGAGGCUGUGACUGUUGCAUAGUUGCUUCAUGCACCAACUCGUUCUCUGACAAUUGAGAUUGUGAUUUAUUGAAGAAGAAUGAAGAAGCUCUUACACAAUUAUAGUUAUUAAGUUUUUUGUUUUAUUAUAAUUCAUAUUACAUUACUUUUGUUACUUUUGAUUGAAAUAAAUUCUUAUAAUUAA
This is a long non-coding RNA of Spodoptera frugiperda (fall armyworm), 705 nucleotides long. RefSeq lists it as uncharacterized. NCBI's taxonomy places the organism in Eukaryota, Metazoa, Arthropoda, Insecta, Lepidoptera, Noctuidae. The record is from RefSeq and is a predicted model, not a curated record. The transcript has 3 exons.